GACGAACGCUGGCGGCGUGCUUAACACAUGCGAGUCGAACGGAAAGGCCCUGCUUUUGUGGGGUGCUCGAGUGGCGAACGGGUGAGUAACACGUGAGUAACCUGCCCUUGACUUUGGGAUAACUUCAGGAAACUGGGGCUAAUACCGGAUAGGAGCUCCUGCUGCAUGGUGGGGGUUGGAAAGUUUCGGCGGUUGGGGAUGGACUCGCGGCUUAUCAGCUUGUGGGUGGGGUAGUGGCUUACCAAGGCUUUGACGGGUAGCCGGCCUGGGAGGGUGACCGGCCACAUUGGGACUGAGAUACGGCCCAGACUCCUACGGGAGGCAGCAGUGGGGAAUAUUGCACAAUGGGCGGAAGCCUGAUGCAGCAACGCCGCGUGCGGGAUGACGGCCUUCGGGUUGUAAACCGCUUUCGCCUGUGACGAAGCGUGAGUGACGGUAAUGGGUAAAGAAGCACCGGCUAACUACGUG
This 468-nucleotide ribosomal RNA is filed under the name uncultured bacterium. RNAcentral describes it as "partial 16S ribosomal RNA". It matches the Rfam family "Bacterial small subunit ribosomal RNA", at positions 28 to 507 of the family's 1533-position model. The record is from RNAcentral.